AGACAGGGCUGCUGGGCUGCUUUCAGGAAGACCUAUUAUUCAGAUUUUGCAGGCAAAUUGUUGUGGAGUGUGUCAGACCAGCUUGCUGACUGAACAGAAAGCCAGUUUCCAAAAUAAAAAUGGGCUCCUAGCUUGAAAUUUUGAGCAGACUGUAAUUGCCCAGUGACACAGAACCUGCACCUGCAAGACCCCCCAGCCUUUGGGACCAACAUCUUAUGGAAACAUGAGAAACCACUACUUUCUGUGUUUCUGCCUUUUUACAUUUAGGUUUCACUUGACUUCCACCAAAAUCAAUAUGAUUUAAGAGUUGACAUCAGUGGGACCCUUCCUGAAUCUUUCCCGCUCGUUGUUGGGAUAAAAUACAGAAACACUGAAGCAAAGUCCUACAUGACAGACAGUAGGAAGUGAAGGAAUAGAAGAAGAAUCCUGUCCUACUGUGCUCUGAGACAUACAUGUCAAAAUAUACUCCAUAUAAUUCUUCCAGACUUUGCUUGUUUUGAUGAGAGCCUGUAAAACUGAGCUAUCAGUACUACAAUGGAGGUCCUUUGUAAACUAACCAUUUUGAUGCAGGAACUGGUGUAUGCCUAUCUCUAACAGUCUCUUAUAGCGCGAUAUAGCGUGGAGAAAAUGAAGCCUUGAACCGAUUCUUUGCUCAUUGGUGGUAUUCAGUGUCAUACAUGCCACAUAAACCAGCAUUUCAUAUGGAAGUGAAACAAAAUAAGGCCCUGGGUCAACUGCGUUAUCACAAAAAAGCAUUCAGGGAACUGUAAUGCAGUUUCCAUCCCUGUAAGCUUGCAUUAGUUCCCAACCACCACAGAAAUCAGAGUAGGUGAAAAGGUGGUUUAGGGAUGAUUUUGCCUCCUUAAUUCUUCAGAUGGUUCCAAGCCUGCAAGUACUUGCUGUUGCUCACUAGUGCUAUGAUGGUACUUUCUUACCCUGGCCAGCCUGGUCCAGCCAAGCCCUCCUUGAAGAGUGUUACAGUCCACCAGCAGCCACGGAGGAGCUCCUGAGUGAUGGCAUCACUUCCCGCACUUCUCUGCCUCACAGUUUCACCCCACUGAGAACUGCAAUAUUAUUUCAGAAUCUGCUGUCUACAGGGAUUUUACCUGCUCACUAUCUCUGAUCUCUUUGCCCCUCUGUGACUGGGACACCACUCAUGUGCCCAAUGUGUAGAAUCACGUAACCUUGGAAUUACAGAAAUGCUGACUGAAGGGAGCCUGGAAGUCUUUCGUCUGAUCAGGAUUGUCACCAAGACUAGAUCAGGUCAGCUGUGGCUUUGCCUGGAUGAGUCUUGAAAACCUCCAAGGCUGAGAUUCCUCAGCCUCCCUGGAUAACCUGCUCCAGUGUUGCACUGCAAAGAAAUUUUCCUACCCUCGCAAAGCACAGUUUUUAGCCAUUGCCCCUUUUUAUAUCAUCUAUCACCACCAAGAAUAAUUUAGCUCUGUUUUGGCUCUGUUAAGUCCUCUUUGGGUAGUUGUAGCUCACUAUUAGAUUAUUCUUUUGCCUCCCUUUCAUAUGAUUAAAUAACACCAGCUCCCUAAGCCUUUUCUUGCAGGUCAGGUCCUCUAGGCCCUCUUCAUCUUGAUCGACUUUCACUGAACCAGAUUCCCAAAUUCCCUCUUGAACCGAACUGGGCUCCAUUCCAGGUGCAACCUCACCAGCACUGAGGAGACAGGAAUAAAAAAAGAGUGCUGGCCA
This 1698-nucleotide long non-coding RNA is filed under the name Struthio camelus australis. RNAcentral's name for it is "lncRNA (ENSSCUG00000012008.1)". Lineage: Eukaryota; Metazoa; Chordata; Aves; Struthioniformes; Struthionidae. The record is from RNAcentral.